Molecule: ribosomal RNA, 585 nt
Filed under: uncultured Glomus
Lineage: Eukaryota; Fungi; Glomeromycota; Glomeromycetes; Glomerales; Glomeraceae
Description: SSU rRNA
Rfam family: Eukaryotic small subunit ribosomal RNA
Source: RNAcentral
AAGCUCGUAGUUGAAUUUCGGCAUCUAUUUGUUGGUCGUGCCUCGGUACGUACUGGCAUUAUUGGUUUCUACCUUCUGAAGAACCUUGAUGUCAUUAAUUUGGUGUCUUGGGGAAUCAGGACUGUUACUUUGAAAAAAUUAGAGUGUUUAAAGCAGGCAUACGCUUGAAUACAUUAGCAUGGAAUAAUGAAAUAGGACGUUUGAUUCUAUUUUGUUGGUUUCUAGGAUCGACGUAAUGAUUAAUAGGGAUAGUUGGGGGCAUUAGUAUUCAAUUGUCAGAGGUGAAAUUCUUGGAUUUAUUGAAGACUAACUACUGCGAAAGCAUUUGCCAAGGAUGUUUUCAUUAAUCAAGAACGAAAGUUAGGGGAUCGAAGACGAUCAGAUACCGUCGUAGUCUUAACCAUAGACUAUGGCGACUAGGGAUCGGAUGAUGUUAUUUUUAAUGACUCAUUCGGCGCCUUACGGGAAACCAAAGUGUUUGGGUUCCGGGGGGAGUAUGGUCGCAAGGCUGAAACUUAAAGGAAUUGACGGAAGGGCACCACCAGGGGUGGAGCCUGCGGCUUAAUUUGACUCAACACGGGGAAA